Molecule: ribosomal RNA, 420 nt
Filed under: bacterium gwi27
Lineage: Bacteria
Description: bacterial SSU rRNA
Rfam family: Bacterial small subunit ribosomal RNA
Source: RNAcentral
GCGUGCUUAACACAUGCAAGUCGAGCGGUAAGGCCCUUCGGGGUACACGAGCGGCGAACGGGUGAGUAACACGUGGGUAAUCUGCCUCAUACUCUGGGAUAAGCCUGGGAAACUGGGUCUAAUACCGGAUAGGACCAUUGCACGCAUGUGUGGUGGUGGAAAGUUCCGGCGGUAUGGGAUGAGCCCGCGGCCUAUCAGCUUGUUGGUGGGGUAGUGGCCUACCAAGGCGACGACGGGUAGCCGGCCUGAGAGGGUGACCGGCCACACUGGGACUGAGACACGGCCCAGACUCCUACGGGAGGCAGCAGUGGGGAAUAUUGCACAAUGGGCGAAAGCCUGAUGCAGCGACGCCGCGUGAGGGAUGACGGCCUUCGGGUUGUAAACCUCUUUCGCCAGGGACGAAGCGCAAGUGACGGUACC